Mauremys reevesii (Reeves's turtle) is the source of this 714-nucleotide long non-coding RNA. RefSeq lists it as uncharacterized. NCBI's taxonomy places the organism in Eukaryota, Metazoa, Chordata, Testudines, Geoemydidae. The transcript has 3 exons. The record is from RefSeq and is a predicted model, not a curated record.
UUCUAUUUUUAGCUCGGGUGUGUCUUCUCCAGCUGGAAAUUAUGCCUCUCCCUUGAAGUGUGGACAUGCCAAGGCCUUCCUGUGCCUGAUUUUGUGAUCUCUAAACAGAGAUCUCCCUCUCUGAUGCAGCCCCAGGAGAAAAAACAGCACUUGGAGCUCAUGUCUUAAUUAGCCGCCAGAAGAGUCAGACCAGGUGUGAGACAAGCUGUGGUCAGAGCUGAGGGACCUUGCACCACAACACAGAACUGAGUUUCAUGGUCACAGGCCAGUAACCAAGAAAGCUCCACCUCCUGCACACACAAGUCUGACUGUGGAGGCUGGCCUUUCCAUCACCCCAGUGGAACAUAUCUGUCAUGAAAGGCAAUGAUCCUGCAGGGUGAGGUGGUCCCUCUGGGAACUUGGGCCAAUCCUCUGGAAACCUUUGAAGGGCCUAUAGAUCUCAGUCAUGGCUCCAUCGUGCCAGGUACUGGACGCUCCCGCUACCCCAAAGAAUCUCAAUCUAGUAUUUAGACAAUACACAACCGGAGACCAGCCACACGCUGGUUUACAUAGCUGCACAAGUGAGUGACGGGACGUAUGGUGUUCCUUUCCUUGCAUGGGCUGCCCGUAUGACAAGCCACAGUGCCGCUGUUCCCCCUCCCACAUCGGUGGGCAGGGAGUGAGUGGAACUUUGACCGUGCCACACCCCUACGAAGGGCCAGCCGGCUCAUUCAA